GUAUGGAUGGUGUAAGGGCAGCACACAUGGUUGUGAUUCAUGGAGUAAGGGUUCGAAUCCCUUUCUAUACCCCA
RNAcentral lists this transfer RNA (74 nucleotides) under Bacteroidetes bacterium ADurb.BinA104. Its description in RNAcentral is "tRNA-His". It matches the Rfam family "tRNA". From Rfam's summary of the family: Transfer RNA (tRNA) molecules are approximately 80 nucleotides in length. Their secondary structure includes four short double-helical elements and three loops (D, anti-codon, and T loops). Further hydrogen bonds mediate the characteristic L-shaped molecular structure. tRNAs have two regions of fundamental functional importance: the anti-codon, which is responsible for specific mRNA codon recognition, and the 3' end, to which the tRNAs corresponding amino acid is attached (by aminoacyl-tRNA synthetases). tRNAs cope with the degeneracy of the genetic code in two manners: having more than one tRNA (with a specific anti-codon) for a particular amino acid; and 'wobble' base-pairing, i.e. permitting non-standard base-pairing at the 3rd anti-codon position. The record is from RNAcentral. Lineage: Bacteria; Pseudomonadati; Bacteroidota.